CGGGUUGAAGCAUGACCGUAAGGACAUGUGGACAGUAUGGGAGUGAGAAUGUUGGCAUGAGUAGCGAGAUGUGGGUGAGAAUCCCACAGGCCGUAAACCCAAGGUUUCCAGGGGAAGGUUCGUCCGCCCUGGGCUAGUCGGGACCUAAGCUGAGGCCGAAAGGCGUAGGUGAUGGACAACAGGUUGAUAUUCCUGUACUACCGAUAACCGUUUGAGAGAUGGGAUGACACAGUAGGAUAAGCUAAGCACACUGUUGGUUAUGUGUGCCCAAGCAUUGAGGCAGUCAGAGUAGGUAAAUCCGCUUUGAUAAUGCUGGGAUGUGAUGGGGAGCGAAAUUUAGUAGCGAAGUAGCUGAUUUCACACUGUCAAGAAAAGUCUCUAUCGAGGUUAAAGGUACCCGUACCGCAAACCGACACAGGUGGGUGAGGAGA
This 431-nucleotide ribosomal RNA is filed under the name Clostridioides difficile. RNAcentral describes it as "partial 23S ribosomal RNA". It matches the Rfam family "Bacterial large subunit ribosomal RNA", at positions 1246 to 1675 of the family's 2925-position model. The record is from RNAcentral. Lineage: Bacteria; Bacillati; Bacillota; Clostridia; Peptostreptococcales; Peptostreptococcaceae.